UAAUAUCUCACCAUCCUCUGCAUGCAAACACAUUUCACCAUGAGUAACCGAUUGACCCACUUGCUCUUUACGGUUGCUAAUGUUUGCUAAUGUUUCAAGAACAAAAGCUCAUUCAGGCUCAAACUAUGAAUCCCUAUAGGACGCCUACAGAGUAUAAAGGCCUCCAGGAAAGACCUCGUUUCCAUGUGUUACAGUGAAGAUGGGUGUAAUGACAUGCUGCGGUCAGUGCUAUAGGAGGUCUGAGGUCUACAUUAGUGGAAAAGUGGAAGGGGGCGGACAGAAGGAAAACCACCCACAGCUGCAGGCCAAAGGGGUCACCUUUGAUGAUGCCUCUGAAGGGCAGAUGUCAUGAAAACUUCACAACUGGAAUCAAGAUUCGAUUCUUCAUGUAGAAAAUAUGCUUUGACAGACGUCCUCAGUUGUCUCUAUAUGUAGUUGUACACCUGCUUCAGCUCGCCUGUCACUGAAUGCACAGCUGCUUUAAGAGAGACUCACGGUUUUGAUCUGAGAGAGACCACACCCCUGUACCUCCUACAAAUUCCUGCCCAUCUCACCCACCCGUCAACAGCCCUGGGAGCCCGGCCAGACUUUUGAUCUUUCCGUGAUUGAGGAUUGGAUUUGAGUGGUUUAGUCUGAUCUCAGAUCAGCCCCUGCGGGAGACCCCAUGCAGACCCCAGUUCUGGUUGCCAGGGUGAUGUAGAAGACUCCCAAGUCUGUGCAGGACUUAAGGAGCGGCUUUCAGGGGGUUUUGCAGAGAAAGCAAAGAACAGAGACCUCUUUUUGCUUCACAUGGUGGUUAUUGAUGGACUGGAGUGGUGUGGAUUACUUGUGGAUUAUUGUGAUGUUUUUAUCAGCUGUUUGGACUCUCAUUCUGACGGCACCCAUUCACUGCAGAGGAUCCAUUGGUGAGCAAGUGAUGUAAUCCUACAUUUCUCCAAAUCUGUUCUGAUUAAGAAACAAACUCAUCUACACCUUGGAUGGCCUAAGAUUGAGUAGAUCUUCGGCAAAUUUGAAUUUCUGGUUGAACUAUUCCUUUAAAGUCACAUACUUUCACUGAUGUUUCCUGUGUUAGUGAAAGGGAUGAGUACACAUAUUUU
Molecule: long non-coding RNA, 1097 nt
Organism: Onychostoma macrolepis
Lineage: Eukaryota; Metazoa; Chordata; Actinopteri; Cypriniformes; Cyprinidae
Exons: 4
Source: RefSeq, a predicted model, not a curated record